GACGAACGCUGGCGGCGUGCCUAAUACAUGCAAGUAGAACGCUGAAGAGAGGAGCUUGCUCUUCUUGGAUGAGUUGCGAACGGGUGAGUAACGCGUAGGUAACCUGCCUGGUAGCGGGGGAUAACUAUUGGAAACGAUAGCUAAUACCGCAUAAAAUUGAUUAUUGCAUGAUAAUUAAUUGAAAGAUGCAACUGCAUCACUACCAGAUGGACCUGCGUUGUAUUAGCUAGUUGGUGAGGUAACGGCUCACCAAGGCGACGAUACAUAGCCGACCUGAGAGGGUGAUCGGCCACACUGGGACUGAGACACGGCCCAGACUCCUACGGGAGGCAGCAGUAGGGAAUCUUCGGCAAUGGGGGGAACCCUGACCGAGCAACGCCGAGUGAGUGAAGAAGGUUUUCGGAUCGUAAAGCUCUGUUGUAAGAGAAGAACGGGUGUGAGAGUGGAAAGUUCACACUGUGACGGUAUCUUACCAGAAAGGGACGGCUAACUACGUG
Molecule: ribosomal RNA, 497 nt
Filed under: uncultured bacterium
Lineage: Bacteria
Description: partial 16S ribosomal RNA
Rfam family: Bacterial small subunit ribosomal RNA
Source: RNAcentral